Molecule: ribosomal RNA, 397 nt
Filed under: uncultured bacterium
Lineage: Bacteria
Description: bacterial SSU rRNA
Rfam family: Bacterial small subunit ribosomal RNA
Source: RNAcentral
AUUGAACGCUGGCGGCAUGCCUAACACAUGCAAGUCGAACGGCAGCGCGGGGGCAACCCUGGCGGCGAGUGGCGGACGGGUGAGGAAUACAUCGGAAUCUACCUUCUGGUGGGGGAUAACCAGCCGAAAGGCUGGCUAAUACCGCAUAAGACCGAGAGGUGAAAGCGGGGGACCGAAAGGCCUCGCGCGAGAAGAUGAGCCGAUGUCCGAUUAGCUAGUUGGCGGGGUAAGAGCCCACCAAGGCGACGAUCGGUAGCUGGUCUGAGAGGAUGAUCAGCCACACUGGGACUGAGACACGGCCCAGACUCCUACGGGAGGCAGCAGUGGGGAAUAUUGGACAAUGGGCGCAAGCCUGAUCCAGCAAUGCCGCGUGUGUGAAGAAGGCCUCGGUUGUAAG